GAGCCUUAAGAGCAUAUUGACCAUUCUCCAUCUUUUAUAUAGAAGCAUCAAGUACUGUUAGACCAUUCAUUACACCAAAGCCAGCAGAAAGAUGGGAAAAGAGAAAUAAUCAUUAAUAUAUUGUUGCAAUCAUUAUACUAAAGACCUCUCGGUUGGGAAUUCAGCUUAGUCAAAAGACUGAAACACGACAUAUCAAAACCAGGUAAAGAAUGAAUUUGCAACUGCCACCAAAACAAAGAAACCUUUUAACAAGUUAUGAAGGAAGGGUCAUGGUGUAUCAGUAAGUUUCAAGUAGCUUCUAAAUGAAGAUCGAGACUCAUGCUCAUAUGAAAAUCAUCUACGGACAUGGACUUCAAACUCAAGUGUUCUAACUUUGAAAGUUAAGGUAGAAACAGUUAGGAUAGCAAGACUAAGCCCUUCGAAAGUAUGGUUCUCUAAAUUCAAGCAGCUGUGCCUCUGUUUUUCGUUCAUCUUGUUCAUGUUCCCAAUAUAUUAUCCCCUGGGGGGUAUACCAUAUGCAUUGCCAGUUGCUUACAUCACGCUGAC
RNAcentral lists this long non-coding RNA (546 nucleotides) under Salvia miltiorrhiza (redroot sage). RNAcentral's name for it is "long non-coding RNA (SMIL_LNC011122)". The record is from RNAcentral. Lineage: Eukaryota; Viridiplantae; Streptophyta; Magnoliopsida; Lamiales; Lamiaceae.